UCCACAUAUCGCCGCCACCUCUCCUCUAGGACCGACAAAGUCCACCGGUCCUAACCUCCUGACCCCGCCUUGCCGUGGGCGCUGGCGUUGGGGAGAUCUGCUCCGUUGUUAUUCCUCCACAGCAUCCACCUAGCACGACGGUUCGACGAGCAGGGUCGUCACCGGAUCCGGCGAAUCCAAGAAUGACCGCCACCGGAUCUGGUGAGUCAUGAAGCCCACGACCAUAUGCGUCCACCCCCGAAUGGACAACUCCCCUGCUUGUGUGAUAUAUUGAACUGUUAUAUUUGAUGGAAAUGAAGGUGUCUAAUUGAAAUCGAUGGGAAGAUCUAUAGCAGAUUGUGUGAUAUAUGUGAUAUUGUUGUACCGAAAUCGAAAUAGAUAUGUAGAUAUGUCAAACUGCUAUAUCUGAUGUGAAAUGCGGAUUUGUGAAACUAACAUUCGUGAUGUGAAACAGAAUUGUAAUUGGAAAGUAUUUUUUUGUUGAAAUGCAUUUUUUUCAGAAAUUGGAAUGCAUGUUUCUCUUUAUGAAACUGUUGUCUCUUCAUUAUGUGAAUGAGAACUUGGGGGUUCAUUUUUUUUUUGAAAUGGUUUAUGUCAGUACUUUGAAAUAAUGAGUUUCACUCUUUUGUGCAAUAAGAUACCCGAAUAACAGAAAUAUACUUCGUUCAUUUAGAAGUGAAAAAAUAGUGAAACUGGUAUGUGUAUGAAAUAUUUCUCUUAUUAAAAUUAAAAAAUUAUGAAAUUACUUGUCUGAAAUAUUUGAAAUUGGUAUUUUCUAAGUGUGUCUUUUGUUAUUUCAGUGUGAUAUGUAUUGCAAAAGUUGUCGAGAUAUAAAUUGAAAUUGUUUGUGUCACAUUAGCUACAAUGGAUUUCACUCUUUUUGAGUAAAAAUGAAUUUGGAGUAGCUAAAAUCACCUUUUUUCUAAGAAAUUGAAAUUGUUUAUGUCACCCAUUUGAAUAAUCAGUUUCACUUAUUUGUGACAAUAUAUGAAAUUACUUGUCUGAAAUAUAUGAAAUUAGUAUUUCUUAUAUGUGUAAUUUGUUAUAUCAGUGUGAUUUGUAUUGAACAAGUUAUGGUAAUAUAAAUUGAAAUUGUUUGUGUCAA
Molecule: long non-coding RNA, 1105 nt
Organism: Aegilops tauschii subsp. strangulata
Lineage: Eukaryota; Viridiplantae; Streptophyta; Magnoliopsida; Poales; Poaceae
Source: RefSeq, a predicted model, not a curated record